Molecule: ribosomal RNA, 433 nt
Filed under: uncultured bacterium
Lineage: Bacteria
Description: partial 16S ribosomal RNA
Rfam family: Bacterial small subunit ribosomal RNA
Source: RNAcentral
GCGAACGCUGGCGGCAGGCCUAACACCUGCAAGUCGAACGAACCUUUCGGGGUUAGUGGCGGACGGGUGAGUAACACGUGGGAACGUGCCUUUAGGUUCGGAAUAACUCAGGGAAACUUGUGCUAAUACCGAAUGUGCCCUUCGGGGGAAAGAUUUAUCGCCUUUAGAGCGGCCCGCGUCUGAUUAGCUAGUUGGUUGAGGUAAUGGCUCACCAAGGCGACGAUCAGUAGCUGGUCUGAGAGGAUGAUCAGCCACAUUGGGACUGAGACACGGCCCAAACUCCUACGGGAAGCAGCAGUGGGGAAUCUUGCGCAAUGGGCGAAAGCCUGACGCAGCCAUGCCGCGUGAAUGAUGAAGGUCUUAGGAUUGUAAAAUUCUUUCACCGGGGACGAUAAUGACGGUACCCGGAGAAGAAGCCCCGGCUAACUUCGUG